RNAcentral lists this ribosomal RNA (457 nucleotides) under uncultured bacterium. Its description in RNAcentral is "bacterial SSU rRNA". It matches the Rfam family "Bacterial small subunit ribosomal RNA", at positions 340 to 786 of the family's 1533-position model. The record is from RNAcentral.
UACGGAAGGCAGCAGUGGGGAAUAUUGCACAAUGGGCGCAAGCCUGAUGCAGCCAUGCCGCGUGUAUGAAGAAGGCCUUCGGGUUGUAAAGUACUUUCAGCGGGGAGGAAGGCGAUGCGGUUAAUAACCGCGUCGAUUGACGUUACCCGCAGAAGAAGCACCGGCUAACUCCGUGCCAGCAGCCGCGGUAAUACGGAGGGUGCAAGCGUUAAUCGGAAUUACUGGGCGUAAAGCGCACGCAGGCGGUCUGUUAAGUCAGAUGUGAAAUCCCCGGGCUUAACCUGGGAACUGCAUUUUGAAACUGGCAGGCUUGAGUCUUGUAGAGGGGGUAGAAAUUCCAGGUGUAGCGGUGAAAUGCGUAGAGAUCUGGAGGAAUACCGGUGGCGAAGGCGGCCCCUGGGACAAAGACUGACGCUCAGGUGCGAAAGCGUGGGGAGCAAAACAGGGAUUAGAUACC